This 252-nucleotide ribosomal RNA is filed under the name uncultured Bacteroides sp. RNAcentral's name for it is "partial 16S ribosomal RNA". It matches the Rfam family "Bacterial small subunit ribosomal RNA", at positions 524 to 776 of the family's 1533-position model. Lineage: Bacteria; Pseudomonadati; Bacteroidota; Bacteroidia; Bacteroidales; Bacteroidaceae. The record is from RNAcentral.
UACGGAGGAUGCGAGCGUUAUCCGGAUUUAUUGGGUUUAAAGGGUGCGUAGGCGGGAUGCCAAGUCAGCGGUCAAAUACGGGGGCUCAACCCCAUCCAGCCGUUGAAACUGGGGAUCUAGAGUGUGCGAGAGGUAUGCGGAAUGCGUGGUGUAGCGGUGAAAUGCUUAGAUAUCACGAAGAACUCCGAUUGCGAAGGCAGCUCACUAGACUGCAACUGACACUGAUGCUCGAAAGUGUGGGUAUCAAACAGG